AUUGAACGCUGGCGGCAUGCCUUACACAUGCAAGUCGAACGGUAACAGGUCUUCGGAUGCUGACGAGUGGCGAACGGGUGAGUAAUACAUCGGAACGUGCCUAGUAGUGGGGGAUAACUACUCGAAAGAGUGGCUAAUACCGCAUGAGAUCUACGGAUGAAAGCAGGGGAUCGCAAGACCUUGUGCUACUAGAGCGGCCGAUGGCAGAUUAGGUAGUUGGUGGGAUAAAAGCUUACCAAGCCGACGAUCUGUAGCUGGUCUGAGAGGACGAUCAACCACACUGGGACUGAGACACGGGCCAGACUCCUACGGGAGGCAGCAGUGGGGAAUUUUGGACAAUGGGCGAAAGCCUGAUCCAGCAAUGCCGCGUGCAGGAUGAAGGCCUUCGGGUUGUAAACUGCUUUUGUACGGAACGAAAAGCCCCGGGUUAAUACCCUGGGGUCAUGACGGUACCGUAAGAAUAAGCACCGGCUAACUACGUGCCAGCCGCCGCAGUAA
RNAcentral lists this ribosomal RNA (498 nucleotides) under uncultured bacterium. RNAcentral's name for it is "partial 16S ribosomal RNA". It matches the Rfam family "Bacterial small subunit ribosomal RNA", at positions 30 to 523 of the family's 1533-position model. The record is from RNAcentral.